Molecule: ribosomal RNA, 253 nt
Filed under: uncultured bacterium
Lineage: Bacteria
Description: partial 16S ribosomal RNA
Rfam family: Bacterial small subunit ribosomal RNA
Source: RNAcentral
UACGUAGGGACCAAGCGUUGUUCGGAUUUACUGGGCGUAAAGGGCGCGUAGGCGGCAAUUCAAGUCAGCUGUGAAAUCUCCGGGCUUAACUCGGAACGGUCAGCUGAUACUGCUUUGCUAGAGUGCGGAAGGGGCAAUCGGAAUUCUCAGUGUAGCGGUGAAAUGCGUAGAUAUCGAGAGGAACACCUGAGGUGAAGACGGGUUGCUGGGCCGACACUGACGCUGAGGCGCGAAAGCCAGGGUAGCAAACGGG